This 440-nucleotide ribosomal RNA is filed under the name uncultured bacterium. RNAcentral describes it as "partial 16S ribosomal RNA". It matches the Rfam family "Bacterial small subunit ribosomal RNA", at positions 338 to 795 of the family's 1533-position model. The record is from RNAcentral.
CCUACGGGAGGCAGCAGUGGGGGAUAUUGCACAAUGGGGGAAACCCUGAUGCAGCGACGCCGCGUGGGUGAAGAAGCGCCUCGGCGCGUAAAGCCCUGUCAGCAGGGAAGAAAAUGACGGUACCUGAAGAAGAAGCCCCGGCUAACUACGUGCCAGCAGCCGCGGUAAUACGUAGGGGGAAAGCGUUAUCCGGAUUUACGGGGUGUAAAGGGGGCGCAGACGGCGAUGCAAGCCAGGAGUGAAAGCCCGGGGCCCAACCCCGGGACUGCUCUUGGAACUGCGUGGCGAGAGUGCAGGAGGGGCAGGCGGAAUUCCUGGUGUAGCGGUGAAAUGCGUAGAUAGCAGGAGGAACACCGGUGGCGAAGGCGGCCUGCUGGACUGCAACUGACGUUGAGGCCCGAAAGCGUGGGGAGCAAACAGGAUUAGAUACCCGUGUAGUC